This 3063-nucleotide long non-coding RNA is filed under the name Homo sapiens (human). Its description in RNAcentral is "HSALNT0301799". The record is from RNAcentral. Lineage: Eukaryota; Metazoa; Chordata; Mammalia; Primates; Hominidae.
GAGAAGCUUGAGAAAAUGCAAGUCAAGAACUUUAUAUCUAGCCAAGCUGUUCUUCAAAUGUUAACAAUAUAGAAAAGCAGUUUUGAAGACGAAAGAACACAAGAAUACUGUGCCCACGUGUCCUUUCUGACGAAUCCACUGCAGAAUUAAGUGUACUUUAUUCAACUAAGAGCUGACUGCAGACACUUCAGCAGGAGGAUUGAAGGUGGGCUUCUACAUAUUUCAUAUAUAGAUCUAGGACUAACACAAGGUUGGAGAUAUGGGUAUAAGAAUGGUAGUUAAACAUUGCAUUUUCUAACAGAAUAGAAACAGUACAAUUUUUAAAAUGGGAGAAGUGGGUAAGAACGUAGAAUAAGAUCAUUGAAUUUACACUAUAAGUAAUAGCCAAAAGAUAUGGUAAAAGGUUAAAAAAUUCUUAAAAAGGUAAUAAAGAGUACUACAAAGGUAACCAUUAGAACAAAAUUAAACAUUUUCCUAAAUACCAAAAGGAAUUUUCUAAAAAGGAAAGAAAGUACACAAAGAGCAUUUUAAAAAUAGGUUUGAUGAUUAAAUUCAGCCAAAAAAAGAACUGGUUUUUCAGUUUAUUUUAUACAAAACAAGAAAAUUACAUGCAAGUGGUAAGCUCCUAUGCACCAAGUGUUUAGCUUAGAAAAAUAAAAUACUCCUAGGAAACAAUUUAUCUUUUGUUCACAGGACAGUCAAAUAGAUCUAAUAGCGCAUCAGUUCUAGAUGAGUACUUAAACCGAAUGAAAAGCAGCCCAACAGCAGCUACUUUGCACCAACCACUUACUAUGUCUAGCUUGCCUGCUGGUCACUUUAUAGUAAGCCUUCACUGCAACACUGAGGCAUUAUUUUUAUGGAUGAGCAAACUGAGGCUCAGAGAAGUUAACAAUUAGCAGUAGGUCACUUCAUUAUAAAUGGCAGAACCAAGCUUUAAGUAUAAGUGUGUUGACACCAAGGCAAUGUGUCUUUGCUACUUUGUGGUAGGACACUGUUUUCCUUCCAUAUCUCUUUCUGUCAUCAGGUUCUAGCCCAGAAUACUGGCCAUUUUUUAGCUAUUCAGUGCGAGCAUUGAGUGAAAUUGUGAAUUUGCCUGUCACUGACUCCAGGGAAGAGACGAGUCAAUCAACUCUGACGAAUCAAGAUUUCCAGAAGAUCUAAAGCCCCCUUGCCUCUCUUUUUCUCAGCUACCCAUCAAAUAAGAGAACCCAUUGCAGAACCAGAAGGGACAUCAUCCAAGCUGUCUGAAAUCCCGGUUGGUACUCCAGGCUUCAACAACUGCAGCACAAUGAGAGACAGCAAAGAACAUCCUGGCCUUUGACAACCCCCUGUCUUCUAACAUACUGAGGUUAAUCAGACCGAGGACAAUUUGGAAGGGGCUCUCUGCCACAACUUGGGGAGUGGAGGUAGGGAAGGCCAUAGGAGCCCCAGCAGGUAGGCCACAUAGCCUGAGUUAUGGAAUCUAACUCCAGUCUGUCUUCCAAAUAUUUCUGGGGUGUCAGAUCUAUGGUAGCCUGAGAGGCAUAUUCUGAAGCCAUUUCCCUCCUAGAGAUCUCGGACUUCUUUCAGCUUCUUGAUGUUAUUACACUAAGAGAAUAUGAACACCUCCUUACAGCAAAUGCUGUAGUUAUAAAACAGUUCACCAAAGAACCUAUGUUUCCUUGAAAACCAAAAGACAAUGCAAAAAGAAAAAUCAUUUUAAAAAAGAUCUUCAAAAAAGGCUUGAUAAUUGCAUAAUUUAAAGGACCCCAGGGAAGUCUCAAUGCUACAUAGGUCCUGGGAGAAGGCACCUGAACUACAUGCCUUGGUGAACUGCAUUUCUUUUAGCUUCUCUGCUUGGAAUCAUGAGGUCCCUAGCGUAUGCUGAAUUUUGAAGGCUGAUGAGCGUUUUGGGCUCUUCCCUGCUGACAUCACCCUAUUUCCUUGGGGACCCCAGGCUCUCAGCUGUAGAAGACUCUCAGACAGACACACAUUGCCCAAACAUGCUACCCUGCACACGUGCUAAACUCUGAGGCUCCUGUGGAGUUGUGUGUCGUACUCCUCAGCUCCAGACCACUGUGUCCUGCCCUGGCCUCCACCCAGCCCUGAUGGAGGCCCCAACAUAUGUGCCUCAACCCACACAGGCCCCAGAGUUUGGCAAAGUGUCCCACACGCAAUAACUUUUGAGUCAGUGGUGCCUGCCCACCCACCUGCCCCCACCCCCACCUUCCCCACCAUCUGCAAUGUCUGUCUUGGAGCCUACUGAUGAACUAAUUAAUGUAUCUUACAUAUUCCUGAUACGGUAAAUUCAUGGGCUCAGGGAAGCGUAUUUUGUAUUUUUUCUAAUUUGUGCUUCCCCUGGACAGUUCACCAAUACCCUGCUGCAGGUGCUUACAUUUAAUGUCAUCAGGAAGCAGUGAAUAUAAAUGUGCAAUAAAUGCGCAGCUGUCCUUGGGUUCUGCACAAGCAGUACUUUAAAAGUAAAUAAUGAGCUAAAAGAACAAACUUAGAGGGUAAUUUCCAACCUCCUUCCUGUCUCUAACACCAUGAAGUUUCACUGUAUCGGUUGCAUCUUUUGGCAUUGUUCAUAUACUACGUGCCUGGAUUCUGUUUCUUGAACUUGUUGGGAAAUGGAAUCAUACUGGGGAUGGCUCCGAGUUCCUUAUAACCAUAGCAUUAGUUUCAGAGUGUUCCCUAUAGUAAUAAUAAAAAGCUUCAAAACAUGCUGAAAAUGUUUUAGAACAUGGUAGCUUCAAAGACGUUUGUUAAAAGGAUAGGCUGGUCUGCAUGGUGGCUGUUUUACUGCUUUUCUAAACUUGGGUGAACCCCUGGAGGAGAAGCCCCAAACAGGGUAGUUCCACCAGCCCAGGAUGCAGCAAGGUGGACAAAUCACAGACAGGACGGGGGAGGAGCCAAGAUGACCGAAUAGGAACAGCUUCGGUCCACAGCUCCCAGCGUGAGCGAUGCAGAAGACGGGUGAUUUCUGCAUUUCCAACUGAGGGACAUGGAUGAAACUGGAAACCAUCAUUCUCAGCAAACUAUUGCAAGGACAGAAAACCGAACACCCCAUGUUCUCACUCAUAG